AUGAACGCUGGCGGCGUGCCUAAUACAUGCAAGUCGAGCGAACGGACGAGAAGCUUGCUUUUCUGAUGUUAGCGGCGGACGGGUGAGUAACACGUGGAUAACCUACCUAUAAGACUGGGAUAACUUCGGGAAACCGGAGCUAAUACCGGAUAAUAUUUUGAACCGCAUGGUUCAUAAGUGAAAGACGGUCUUGCUGUCACUUAUAGAUGGAUCCGCGCUGCAUUAGCUAGUUGGUAAGGUAACGGCUUACCAAGGCAGCGAUGCAUAGCCGACCUGAGAGGGUGAUCGGCCACACUGGAACUGAGACACGGUCCAGACUCCUACGGGAGGCAGCAGUAGGGAAUCUUCCGCAAUGGGCGAAAGCCUGACGGAGCAACGCCGCGUGAGUGAUGAAGGUCUUCGGAUCGUAAAACUCUGUUAUUAGGGAAGAACAUAUGUGUAAGUAACUGUGCACAUCUUGACGGUACCUAAUCAGAAAGCCACGGCUAACUACGUG
Molecule: ribosomal RNA, 496 nt
Filed under: uncultured bacterium
Lineage: Bacteria
Description: partial 16S ribosomal RNA
Rfam family: Bacterial small subunit ribosomal RNA
Source: RNAcentral